This 94-nucleotide small nucleolar RNA is filed under the name Baudoinia panamericana UAMH 10762. RNAcentral describes it as "A. fumigatus snoRNA Afu_335". It matches the Rfam family "A. fumigatus snoRNA Afu_335". Lineage: Eukaryota; Fungi; Ascomycota; Dothideomycetes; Mycosphaerellales; Teratosphaeriaceae. The record is from Rfam by way of RNAcentral.
UACCACGAUGAACCCUCAGAUAGGGACAACUGAUACUACGGUAUUUGAUGUGAACCAGGGAGUGUAUUUUAGUAGAUGCUUCUCACUUCUGAUG